UACGAAGGGUGCAAACGUUGCUCGGAAUUAUUGGGCGUAAAGCGCACGUAGGCGGGUUUAAAAGUCGGAUGUGAAAUCCCUCGGCUCAACCAAGGAAGUGCAUCCGAAACUGCAAAUCUUGAGUACCAAAGAGGAUCGCGGAAUUCCCGGUGUAGAGGUGAAAUUCGUAGAUAUCGGGAGGAACACCAGUGGCGAAGGCGGCGAUCUGGGUGGAUACUGACGCUGAGGUGCGAAAGCGUGGGGAGCAAACAGG
This 253-nucleotide ribosomal RNA is filed under the name uncultured bacterium. RNAcentral's name for it is "partial 16S ribosomal RNA". It matches the Rfam family "Bacterial small subunit ribosomal RNA", at positions 524 to 776 of the family's 1533-position model. The record is from RNAcentral.